UACGGAGGGUGCAAGCGUUGUUCGGAAUUAUUGGGCGUAAAGAGCGUGUAGGCGGUUGAACAAGUCAGAUGUGAAAUCCCUCGGCUCAACCGAGGAAGUGCAUUUGAAACUGUUCGGCUUGAGUACGGGAGAGGAGAGCGGAAUUCCCGGUGUAGAGGUGAAAUUCGUAGAUAUCGGGAGGAACACCGGUGGCGAAGGCGGUUCUCUGGCCCGAUACUGACGCUGAGACGCGAAAGCGUGGGGAGCAAACAGG
RNAcentral lists this ribosomal RNA (253 nucleotides) under uncultured bacterium. RNAcentral describes it as "partial 16S ribosomal RNA". It matches the Rfam family "Bacterial small subunit ribosomal RNA", at positions 524 to 776 of the family's 1533-position model. The record is from RNAcentral.